This 468-nucleotide ribosomal RNA is filed under the name uncultured bacterium. RNAcentral describes it as "partial 16S ribosomal RNA". It matches the Rfam family "Bacterial small subunit ribosomal RNA", at positions 28 to 507 of the family's 1533-position model. The record is from RNAcentral.
GACGAACGCUGGCGGCGUGCUUAACACAUGCAAGUCGAACGGAAAGGCCCUGCUUUUGUGGGGUGCUCGAGUGGCGAACGGGUGAGUAACACGUGAGUAACCUGCCCUUGACUUUGGGAUAACUUCAGGAAACUGGGGCUAAUACCGGAUAGGAGCUCCUGCUGCAUGGUGGGGGUUGGAAAGUUUCGGCGGUUGGGGAUGGACUCGCGGCUUAUCAACUUGUUGGUGGGGUAGUGGCUUACCAAGGCUUUGACGGGUAGCCGGCCUGAGAGGGUGACCGGCCACAUUGGGACUGAGAUACGGCCCAGACGCGUACGGGAGGCAGCAGUGGGGAAUAUUGCACAAUGGGCGGAAGCCUGAUGCAGCAACGCCGCGUGCGGGAUGACGGCCUUCGGGUUGUAAACCGCUUUCGCCUGUGACGAAGCGUGAGUGACGGUAAUGGGUAAAGAAGCACCGGCUAACUACGUG